CACAUACACACUCAGAGUGCCUGGGCAGC
Molecule: non-coding RNA, 29 nt
Filed under: Rattus norvegicus (Norway rat)
Lineage: Eukaryota; Metazoa; Chordata; Mammalia; Rodentia; Muridae
Source: RNAcentral